RNAcentral lists this small nuclear RNA (322 nucleotides) under Neogale vison (American mink). RNAcentral describes it as "Neovison vison (American mink) 7SK RNA (ENSNVIG00000010158.1)". It matches the Rfam family "7SK RNA". From Rfam's summary of the family: 7SK was discovered as an abundant small nuclear RNA in the mid-70s but a possible function has only recently been suggested. Two independent studies have found that 7SK RNA binds the CDK9/cyclin T complex (known as elongation factor P-TEFb). P-TEFb activates transcription by phosphorylating the C-terminal domain of RNA polymerase II. The record is from Rfam by way of RNAcentral. Lineage: Eukaryota; Metazoa; Chordata; Mammalia; Carnivora; Mustelidae.
GGAUGUAAGGGCAAUCUGGCUGUAACAUCUGUCACCCCAUUGGUCAUCAGGAUUGACUCCACUGAUCUGGGUGGCUACGGGAUGUCCCUCCCCUCCCUAACCACUCCAUGUGCACCUUUCUGGAACUGCAUGUUUGGUCCAAAAGGAUGACCUUCCCUGAUAGGGGAGGACUUUUUGAUCAAGGGUAUAGGAGUAGCUGUGCUCCCCAACUAGAACAUUCAAACAUGCUCUUAAGGUCCAUUUGUAGGAGAAUGUGCAGUAGUCAAACUUCUAAGGCUCCAGACACAUCCAAAUUAGACACCACAUGUUGCAAUCAUUAUUU